UACAACCAUAUCACAUUGAAACACUGGUUCCCGUACAGUCACUGAAGUUAAGCAACACUGAGCCUGGUCAGUACCUAGAUGAGUGAUCACUUAGGAAUAUCAGAUGCUGUAAG
Non-coding RNA from Acanthosepion pharaonis, 113 nucleotides. The record is from the annotation of a GenBank genome assembly. Lineage: Eukaryota; Metazoa; Mollusca; Cephalopoda; Sepiida; Sepiidae.